This 460-nucleotide ribosomal RNA is filed under the name uncultured bacterium. RNAcentral describes it as "partial 16S ribosomal RNA". It matches the Rfam family "Bacterial small subunit ribosomal RNA", at positions 338 to 795 of the family's 1533-position model. The record is from RNAcentral.
CCUACGGGUGGCAGCAGUGAGGAAUAUUGGUCAAUGGACGCAAGUCUGAACCAGCCAUGCCGCGUGCAGGAAGACGGCUCUAUGAGUUGUAAACUGCUUUUGUACGAGGGUAAACGCAGAUACGCGUAUCUGUCUGAAAGUAUCGUACGAAUAAGGAUCGGCUAACUCCGUGCCAGCAGCCGCGGUAAUACGUAGGGGGCAAGCGUUAUCCGGAUUUACUGGGUGUAAAGGGAGCGUAGACGGUGCGCCAAGUCUGGAGUGAAAUGCCGCAGCUUAACUGCGGAACUGCUUUGGAAACUGGCGAACGAGAGUGCGGGAGGGGUAAGCGGAAUUCCUAGUGUAGCGGUGAAAUGCAUAGAUAUCACGCAGAACUCCGAUUGCGAAGGCAGCAUACCGGCGCCCAACUGACGCUGAAGCACGAAAGCGUGGGUAUCGAACAGGAUUAGAUACCCCUGUAGUC